Molecule: ribosomal RNA, 486 nt
Filed under: uncultured bacterium
Lineage: Bacteria
Description: partial 16S ribosomal RNA
Rfam family: Bacterial small subunit ribosomal RNA
Source: RNAcentral
AUUGAACGCUGGCGGCAUGCCUUACACAUGCAAGUCGAACGGCAGCACGGGUGCUUGCCCCUGGUGGCGAGUGGCGAACGGGUGAGUAAUACAUCGGAACAUGUCCUGUAGUGGGGGAUAGCCCGGCGAAAGCCGGAUUAAUACCGCAUACGAUCCACGGAUGAAAGCGGGGGACCUUCGGGCCUCGCGCUAUAGGGUUGGCCGAUGGCUGAUUAGCUAGUUGGUGGGGUAGAGGCCUACCAAGGCGACGAUCAGUAGCUGGUCUGAGAGGACGACCAGCCACACUGGGACUGAGACACGGCCCAGACUCCUACGGGAGGCAGCAGUGGGGAAUUUUGGACAAUGGGCGAAAGCCUGAUCCAGCAAUGCCGCGUGUGUGAAGAAGGCCUUCGGGUUGUAAAGCACUUUUGUCCGGAAAGAAAUCCUUGACUCUAAUACAGUCGGGGGAUGACGGUACCGGAAGAAUAAGCACCGGCUAACUACGUG